CCUACGGGAGGCAGCAGUGGGGAAUAUUGCACAAUGGGCGCAAGCCUGAUGUAGCGACGCCGCGUGAGUGAUGAAGGUCUUCGGAUCGUAAAACUCCUUUCGACCGGGACGAUAAUGACGGUACCGGUGGAAGAAGCCCCGGCUAACUCCGUGCCAGCAGCCGCGGU
Molecule: ribosomal RNA, 167 nt
Filed under: uncultured bacterium
Lineage: Bacteria
Description: partial 16S ribosomal RNA
Rfam family: Bacterial small subunit ribosomal RNA
Source: RNAcentral